RNAcentral lists this ribosomal RNA (425 nucleotides) under uncultured bacterium. RNAcentral describes it as "partial 16S ribosomal RNA". It matches the Rfam family "Bacterial small subunit ribosomal RNA", at positions 359 to 776 of the family's 1533-position model. The record is from RNAcentral.
GAAUUUUGGACAAUGGGCGAAAGCCUGAUCCAGCAAUGCCGCGUGCAGGAUGAAGGCCUUCGGGUUGUAAACUGCUUUUGUACGGAACGAAAAGCUUUGGGGUAAUACCCUGGAGCCAUGACGGUACCAUAAGACUAAGCACCGGCUAACGACGUGCAAGCCGCCGCGGUAAUACGUACGGUGCAAGCGUUAAUCGGAAUGACUGGGCGUAAAGCGGGCGCAGGCUGUUUUGUAAGACAGAGGUGAAAUCCACGGGCUCAACCUGGGAACUUCCUUUGUGACUGCAAGGCUAGAGUACGGCAGAGGGGGGUGGAAUUCCGCGUGUAGCAGUGAAAUGCGUAGAUAUGCGGAGGAACACCGAUGGCGAAGGCAACCCCCUGGGCCUGUACUGACGCUCAUGCACGAAAGCGUGGGGAGCAAACAGG